Non-coding RNA from Populus trichocarpa (black cottonwood), 136 nucleotides. NCBI's taxonomy places the organism in Eukaryota, Viridiplantae, Streptophyta, Magnoliopsida, Malpighiales, Salicaceae. The record is from Rfam.
CAAUUUAUUUAGAUUAGAUCCUCAUUUAGUUGUGUCAAUCCUUACAUGAGUGAUCACCAUCUUUAAUUUUCACAAGUUUAAGUGCAUCAAUUUGUUGUUAGGAAAAAAAUUAAAAAAAUAAAGAUCAAAAUAAUAA